UACUCACCCGGGAUGUGGAAGACAACCCACACCAUUUAAGUCCCCCAGCUCCCAACCUCCUGAGAGGAAGCAGGGAUUUGAACAGAGAUCUGCCACAUCUGAAUUUCUGAAACUUAGUUUUGAAGAAAAUCUGCUUUGAGAGUGAAUUUCAUCCUUCUGUGAAUGGGCCAGCAAAUGGUAGAAAGCAAUCACCAGGAGGUGCAGAGGAUGUAGAAGAUCCCAACAGAACUGCUAUGGUUCUGAUGUGCCAGGGUUGGAAGACAAAGCCUUGUGUAGCAAACCUGGGGUCCAGCUCUCCAGAGACCAUCACAGAGGAGAACAGGUCAAGGGACACAUCAAGCAAAGUAAUUGGAAAGAAGCAGAAUCAUCUAUUACAUGACCUUGGUUCUGGCAGAUAAGGACCUUAACCAGCCACUGUUUGCAGAAGCUGUGGGCACAAAUUAGAACAAGCACUGGAGGGAAUAACAGCUCCCCCAACACACCAGACUGCUGAACCCUUUGAGGAAAAACCCAUCCUAAGAAUCCAGCCACAACAAUCCAUUUCCUUCACCAUCCAGGUUCUGGAACACUCCUGAAACCUCUGUGACAGCACCUCCAUGGCAACAAUUUCUACUUUAACAAUUUCCUUUUAAGGUCUGAGGACCCAUUAGUGGACGAUGGACUACCUGAAGUCAAUGCUGGAUUCUUGGAUGAAGGUUCCAUCGGGGGCCAGACCACGUGUCCACACCCAAUUUGCAAGCUACUUUUUGGCCCCCUCACAUACUUUUUCUUCCCAAUUGAAGCCUCCUCACCUCUCAAAAAGUCCCAUCAGUCCUCAUUCAUCAGGACACAGUAUACAUUAGCCGAGAGUUCAGACUCUCACAUUCAGUGAUCGGCCCCAAGAAGCUUGGGCGGGCCAUGGAAUUCCAAUCCCCUCUUCCCUCUUCAGUUGAGCUCUCUACAUCAGCCAUUAAAGCAUCACUGGCAACUGAAGACCCUUAUUUUACCCCAGAUC
Molecule: long non-coding RNA, 994 nt
Organism: Chelonia mydas (Green sea turtle)
Lineage: Eukaryota; Metazoa; Chordata; Testudines; Cheloniidae
Exons: 8
Source: RefSeq, a predicted model, not a curated record